UUCUCAAAAUAAAAGUUUGUGAAAACUAUCAAUCUAGAGCACUUUUUGACGUUUGGCCGGUCUACUAUUUAUAUGAAUCUCACACUUCCCACCCUAUCAUAACAUUACUUGACUGGCAGAAGGGCAUUUAAUAUUCCCAAGGGUGUCAACACUCAUGUGCACUGUAUCUUUUGCAUAGCAUGUGUUUGAGCUUACACCAGCCAUACUGGAAUUUGAAAACUGCUUAGCCACACAACUUAUUGCUCUUUUGCCAUCCAGGUGACAAUAUCACAUGUGUAAUUGAUGAACACGAAAGUGUGAAAGUUAUUAGCAAAAUCCUGAAAAAUUGUUUUUCUUUCUCUUACCAAUAAAAUAAAAAUAUUGGGUAUAUUUGAAUUUCAUUUUCUUUCCCUUAAUUAUCUUUUUUUUUUCAUUUGCAAUGGAAUAAAAAGUGGGUAGCACAGCGUAAAACUUGAAGUUGGUUGGCUAAAGAAACUUUUUAUCAAGCUAAAACAACAGUUAAUCUGUACUUUCAGCUUUGGAACUUGUUGUAUGCCAAAUGUUUUUAUAUGCUAUGGUAUGGCAGAAAUAGUAUUACGAGACCCCAUGAUAUUUUGAAGAAAUAGAUGUAAGAAAGCCAACAUAAGUCGUCCCUUUCAAUCAAAACCUUGCCAAAGUCUAGGUAUUAACAAAAUCAGGACUCUUUUUUUUUUCUUUCUUUCCAGCCAAAUAAGUAGAGUUUUGUCAGAGGAAUUUUUUUUCUUGGCAAGUUUGACUGUAUUUAAAUGCAAACACAUAAUAGUCAUAAAACUGAUAAAGUUUACAUAUGCACAUGUCAUUUAUUACAUUGAAAGAAUUCUGUACAGUCCAGUCAUGAUUUCUUUGUAUUUUACAUGAACUCUGCAAAAAAAAAAAUGGGAAAUUAAAUGUCCAUGUCCCUCAUAACUAUGUUCAAGCUCUUCCAUCAAUUUUAUUGCAGCACCACAGAAAAACUAAUAAAAAAAGAUUUCUUGACUUUGGAAUAUAAAACAAGAAAUUGUUAGUGCAUUGAUAUAUCUGGACUUGCUACAUUUCACUACUGGCUUAUUUUGUGAAAUUUAUAUGUAGUGAAUCUAACACAUUUUGUAAGCUAAAUGUCACAUUUACAUGCAAUAGCCCAAAGGCGGCAUAAAUCAGUAAACUUUCAAUGUAUCAGCUCAUUUUUCUCUCAAAUCAUUCUCAGCUGUUUUGGAAGGAUAGAUAAGACAGCUUUCUAUACCAUUCACAAGUUAGGAAAGAGCACAGUAAACAUAAGAAGCAUACAAUUGUAAGGACAAUUUUGACAUUUUUAGCUUUCCAUAAUUUUAGCACAGAGUUGGACCAUAGUCUAAGUUUAACCUGACUUCAGAAUACGGGCUGAUAUAUCAAAAUCACAUUUCAUAGCAUCAGCGCUUGGUUCCUUACCCAGAACCCAAUCAUAGUCUUAUAACGAUUACCUAAUAGAAUGAUGUCUAUUAACUUUACUCAUUACAAACAUUUAUAUCACAAUAUUUGUAAAGGUCUUUUCAUGUCUACUGCUCCCAAACAUGAUAAUUUUCUUAUGAAGUCAAAUGACCACCAUAAUUCAAACCAAACAUUACUAACCAACUGCAUAGGAGUCUAUUAGAUGACCCCUUUUUAUAAAAGUAAUCUGUUUUUUCAUAAAGCUGCUGGAAAUCAUACAUACCUUUAUGAAUGACGAGAAUAUGAAAUGUUCAAAUGCAAGCCUUAAGUCCCAAAUGAUAUCCAAACGUCUGACUAUAUUUCAAAUACAUCUUGCACUAAAAUGUACAUUUCAAGCAAGAAUCAAAUAAUGAUCUGCAUAUAACUUACAUGACAGUUCAAACACAUUUUGGCUUGUCAUACUCCUGUCAUUUAUGAAGUACUUUGUAAUAUUAUGAACAGCUCUAUGAAACACCUCUCUGCUGAGGUUGGUUAAGAGCCAAUAUAUGUGAUGUACUUAGACCCCUGUUACAUCUGAAAGUUUCCUACCCGAGACCCGACCGAGUCCACCUGCAACCUUGGCUGGAUUAGCUUCACGAACGGACCGAGUCCGAAAUGUGGUCUGUUUACAUCACAGCGUUUAUUCCCUCCCCUAUCGGUACAGUUUCGAGCGGUAUCCGAUUGCUGACACUAAAAAGCGCUCUCGAUCUGGGCUCUGAAUAAUUUGCGCGCUAAUUGAAGUUGUUUACAUUUUGUUACACUCGUCGGCUGCUAGCUCGCCAUUUGGUUACGUUCGUUGAACAUAUGAUCGACUUGAAAAGGAUACGUUUAAAAUGCUUCCUUCUUUCCACUCAAAUCAAAGACUUGAUCAAUCACAAUUCACAUGUCGCAAAUCAUUCGAAGAAUGGCGGGCAUGGCUGGGGAGGGCAUAGCGCGCACUAUGACGUAAUUUGACAGCUGGCGAACGGACCGAGAUAGGUUCGAAAGCUUGUGUGCGUUUACAUCUACGAAUCGGUGGACCGGCCCGAUACCUACCCGAGACUACAUCUGGAUGUGGUCUCGGGUAGAUUCGCUAAAAGGUGGCCCAAGGUAGGUUUGGGAUGUUUACAACUGAUUUCUUUCCGACCUGAGGUAGGCCCGGGCCGGCCCGAGGUAGGGAAUCUUUCAGAUGUAACAGGGGUCUUAAAGAAGUACAUGUAAUCCAGGCUUAAGUAAAGAUGAUUUGAACAGAUAAAGAAAAAUCAGGCUAAGAAAACACUGAAAAUUUGAUCAAAAUGGGACAAAACUUUGUUACUUGUUAUCCGAUUUUGAUGAAAUUUUCUGCAUUUCACUCAUUAAAUUUUACUUUUACUAUUCAGAUAUAAAACAUUUCAGCCCUGAGCAUCCCUUUAAGUGGAUAUUUCAAAGAAAACCCUAUUAAAAAAAAUUCUUGGGGUAAAGAAGAGUAAUAAAAUGAGCUUUGAACAUUCUUGGUAGUGAGAUGGGUUCAUUAUUAAAAACAUUAAAACUAAACAUGCAAGAAAACUGGAUGAAAAAAAAGCAGGUGCUGCAUUUAGGAAGUUGAGUAUUUAGCCUGUGCACUAUUCCAUCAUUGAUGUUACAGAUCAUGACGGCGCAAGCGCUAAUACACGUUCCAUGUGCUGAGCGUGUGGUUUCAGGAAAAGUAGGUCAGUCAGCGCAGCAGGGUUAUCAUGAUUCAGAUUAAAAAAGGAUACGAGUACAAGAACUGAAUAUUCAAAAUCUAUGAUUGCUCAAACUUGUUAAAGUAGGAUAAAAAACAAAUUUACUAGGCCUUUAUUUUGAAAGUAUAGAGGGAAUUAUUCAUCCUCCGAUGAAUAAUUCCUGCUAUACUUACUCAAAGCCUGGUAUAUUUGUAUCAUAUUUUCAGCUAGACUUCCCUCUGAAAUAUAACAAGGUAAAUCAAGGAAAUAAAAGUAAGCAAUAAACAUAACAAUGUCUUGUGCACACUCACUCCUCUUUAUAAAGUGAGAUUGAACCCCCCCCAAAAAAAAGUGAUACCAUUAUCAAAUUCAAACCUGGUAAAAUUUAGUGUUGAUUGGUGUUGCAAUUGCACAGACAUGUACAUUCCCAAUUGCCUGCAGUAUUGGUUAAAAUAUGCCUAAAAAUGUCUUAUUGGGGCUCCUUCAAAAAAACUUUAUUCAUGUAUAAACUACAACCCAUUGGACUGCUUGAGUUACAAAUACUUGACAGUGCAUAAAUUGAAACAAAGAUUUCAAGCACUCCAGAACAUGGUCUCAAAGUACUAGUUGAAAUUAUUAUUUUCAUUAUGAAUAUUAUUAUCUGCUAAACAUUUUUUUUUUCAAUUCUUGUAUCAAUACAGAAAUUUGGCAAGCUAUAUAUAGAAAUAACAGAAAUUCAUUGGAAGAUUUUGCAGUAAAAUGCAUAUACAAUUACAAUUAGAAACACUUCAAUUGAAAAGAUUGCAGUAUGGGCUUGUAUAGAAGCUAAUGCAAACAGAAAUGUGUUAGCUCAGGGAAGGCUGAAAGCUGGU
This is a long non-coding RNA of Lytechinus variegatus (green sea urchin), 3952 nucleotides long. RefSeq lists it as uncharacterized. Lineage: Eukaryota; Metazoa; Echinodermata; Echinoidea; Temnopleuroida; Toxopneustidae. The record is from RefSeq and is a predicted model, not a curated record. The transcript is spliced from 2 exons.